This 648-nucleotide ribosomal RNA is filed under the name uncultured soil bacterium. Its description in RNAcentral is "bacterial SSU rRNA". It matches the Rfam family "Bacterial small subunit ribosomal RNA", at positions 35 to 661 of the family's 1533-position model. The record is from RNAcentral.
GCUGGCGGCGUGCCUAACACAUGCAAGUCGAACGCGAAAGUGGAGCAAUCCAUGAGUAGAGUGGCGAACGGGUGAGUAACACGUGGGUGACCUACCCUCGAGUGGGGGAUAACAUCCCGAAAGGGGUGCUAAUACCGCAUGACAUCCUGCCUUUGAACAGGCGGACAUUAAAGCCGGGGAUCGCAAGACCUGGCGCUCGUGGAGGGGCCCGCGCCCGAUUAGCUAGUUGGUGAGGUAAUGGCUCACCAAGGCUACGAUCGGUAUCCGGCCUGAGAGGGCGGACGGACACACUGGGACUGAGACACGGCCCAGACUCCUACGGGAGGCAGCAGUGGGGAAUUGUUCGCAAUGGGCGAAAGCCUGACGACGCAACGCCGCGUGGAGGAUGGAGAUCUUCGGGUCGUAAACUCCUUUCGAUCGGGACGAAUGAUCGGUGACCUAAUACGUCAUCGGAAUGACGGUACCGAGAGAAGAAGCCCCGGCUAACUCCGUGCCAGCAGCCGCGGUAAUACGGGGGGGGGCAAGCGUUGUUCGGAAUUACUGGGCGUAAAGGGCGCGUAGGCGGCCUUCUAAGUCGGACGUGAAAUCCCUCGGCUUAACCGAGGAACUGCGUCUGAUACUGGAAGGCUUGAAUCCGGGAGAGGGAUG